Molecule: long non-coding RNA, 392 nt
Organism: Heterocephalus glaber (naked mole-rat)
Lineage: Eukaryota; Metazoa; Chordata; Mammalia; Rodentia; Bathyergidae
Source: RefSeq, a predicted model, not a curated record
CCACCAUGAACUAAGGAUCUUUGGGCAACCAUAUUCUUCUGCCAUGAUGUUUCUGCCUUGAAGCCAGCACUCCAGAUUGAAAAAUAGAGGAUGGAAACAACAGAAAGAGCUUGGAUCACUGGGUUCUCCGCUUGGAAAACAGCCAAGUAGAAGAGCUGUCCAACACGAUGACCAACUGAAAAUCAGCCCAAUUAUUGCAAAAUAGGGAAAAAAUAGUUUCCAGUUAGUAAUUCCUCAGAAGAAUUUGGCAAGAGCAUCACGAGGCAGAUGUUCAGAAGAAUUAGGCUAUACAGCCAAUGGAAAUUGCAACAGAUUUACUCUUAAGAAGCAAAACAUAUUAAUCAAAGGCCAAUUGAAGCAAUUAACUUAAUUUACAAUCCAGCUAAAAUUGA